RNAcentral lists this ribosomal RNA (458 nucleotides) under uncultured bacterium. Its description in RNAcentral is "bacterial SSU rRNA". It matches the Rfam family "Bacterial small subunit ribosomal RNA", at positions 8 to 480 of the family's 1533-position model. The record is from RNAcentral.
AGAGUUUGAUCCUGGCUCAGAUUGAACGCUGGCGGCAUGCUUUACACAUGCAAGUCGAACGGCAGCACGGGCUUCGGCCUGGUGGCGAGUGGCGAACGGGUGAGUAAUGCGUCGGAACGCGCCGAGUAGUGGGGGAUAACGCAGCGAAAGCUGUGCUAAUACCGCAUACGUACUGAGGUAGAAAGUGGGGGACCUUCGGGCCUCACGCUAUUCGAGCGGCCGACGUCUGAUUAGCUAGUUGGUGGGGUAAAGGCUCACCAAGGCGACGAUCAGUAGCGGGUCUGAGAGGAUGAUCCGCCACACUGGGACUGAGACACGGCCCAGACUCCUACGGGAGGCAGCAGUGGGGAAUUUUGGACGAUGGGCGCAAGCCUGAUCCAGCCAUGCCGCGUGUCUGAAGAAGGCCUUCGGGUUGUAAAGGACUUUUGUCCGGGAGCAAAGCCUACUUGUUAAUACCG